RNAcentral lists this long non-coding RNA (508 nucleotides) under Equus caballus (horse). RNAcentral describes it as "lncRNA (ENSECAG00000052842.1)". The record is from RNAcentral. Lineage: Eukaryota; Metazoa; Chordata; Mammalia; Perissodactyla; Equidae.
CUUGGGAGUAGGCAAAAUGGUAGCAGCUGGCAGCUUCUGCUUCAGAUAAAUAGAUCUCAGCAGUAACAACCUGAAUUUGCCUGUCUCUCCAGACUUCAGAUCUGCUUGUUUGCCCUGCAACCUCAGUUCUUUGAUGGAUCCAAGAAAAGGCCUUGAUUUUUGGCUUAAGAUUUUUCUUAUUGUAAGAAGAGGAGUGAUGACUUCUAAGCUGUUUACACUGAGGGCCUAAAACCAGAGAAGGCCUGCUAAGAUGGAAGCAGAAGAGAGCGAGCUAGCUCUCAGGGACUGGGGUGGAAAUGAGUGCUCUGCAAGACCUUCAGAGUGUUCAGCCUUCCAAAGUCUGUGAAUGCAUUCUAAGAGUGGUUGUGGCUUGGCUUCUUGUGAGUACCCAAUAUGAACUUCCAUUCCUUUCAUCAUGGCACAAUGAUAAAAACCUUAGACUGGCAGGAAAGCCACGUGAAUUCAGACCAUUAAUGUGCCAGUUACUUCAACGAACUGAUGACUCUCA